GACGAACGCUGGCGGCGUGCUUAACACAUGCAAGUCGAACGGAAAGGCCCUGCUUUUGUGGGGUGCUCGAGUGGCGAACGGGUGAGUAACACGUGAGUAACCUGCCCUUGACUUUGGGAUAACUUCAGGAAACUGGGGCUAAUACCGGAUAGGAGCUCCUGCUGCAUGGCGGGGGUUGGAAAGUUUCGGCGGUUGGGGAUGGACUCGCGGCUUAUCAGCUUGUUGGUGGGGUAGUGGCUUACCAAGGCUUUGACGGGUAGCCGGCCUGAGAGGGUGACCGGCCACAUUGGGACUGAGAUACGGCCCAGACUCCUACGGGAGGCAGCAGUGGGGAAUAUUGCACAGUGGGCGGAAGCCUGAUGCAGCAACGCCGCGUGCGGGAUGACGGCCUUCGGGUUGUAAACCGCUUUCGCCUGUGACGAAGCGUGAGUGACGGUAAUGGGUAAAGAAGCACCGGCUAACUACGUG
This 468-nucleotide ribosomal RNA is filed under the name uncultured bacterium. RNAcentral describes it as "partial 16S ribosomal RNA". It matches the Rfam family "Bacterial small subunit ribosomal RNA", at positions 28 to 507 of the family's 1533-position model. The record is from RNAcentral.